Molecule: ribosomal RNA, 250 nt
Filed under: uncultured prokaryote
Description: partial 16S ribosomal RNA
Rfam family: Bacterial small subunit ribosomal RNA
Source: RNAcentral
UACGUAGGGAGCAAGCGUUAUCCGAAUUUAUUGGGUGUAAAGGGUGUGUAGGCGGUUUAAUAAGUUUAAGGUCUAAUUUCGAGGCUUAACCUCGAACUGCCUUAAAAACUGUCUAACUUGAGUAUGGUAGAGGCAAGUGGAAUUUCUAGUGUAGCGGUAAAAUGCUUAGAUAUUAGAAGGAACACCAGUGGCGAAGGCGACUUGCUGGGCCAUUACUGACGCUGAGACACGAAAGCGUGGGGAGCAAAUA